CCUGCUCCUAGAAGGGUUGCAAGUGUGGUUGCUAUGUCACACCUGCAUCAGUAGGUGGCAGAGGGGAGAGAGAGGCUACCUUCAGAGUUCUGACCUAUGAUUAGUAGCCUAA
This 112-nucleotide small nucleolar RNA is filed under the name Mus pahari (shrew mouse). RNAcentral describes it as "snoRNA (MGP_PahariEiJ_G0034406.1)". It matches the Rfam family "Small nucleolar RNA SNORA17". Rfam says of the family: snoRNA ACA 17 belongs to the H/ACA family of snoRNAs and is predicted to guide pseudouridylation of the 28S rRNA at positions U4659 and U4598. It shares the same host gene together with ACA43. The record is from RNAcentral. Lineage: Eukaryota; Metazoa; Chordata; Mammalia; Rodentia; Muridae.